AAAAUUAGGCCUUGGAAAAUUCUAUAAAUACAAGCCCAUUUCAUUCAUUUGAGGGGACCAAUUCAUAUUACACCUUGAAGCUCUGAAGCUCUGAAACUCCGAAGCUCUCAAGCAUCCAGGUGCCCGAAGAAUCAAGAAAGCUCUCUUCGUUCUUCGUUCAUCGUUCAUCCAAGAUCAAGCCCCCAACGGCCCUUUGGAUCAACAAUCAUCCACCAAUUCAAGA
This 223-nucleotide long non-coding RNA is filed under the name Malus domestica (apple). RNAcentral describes it as "long non-coding RNA (MDOM_LNC019822)". Lineage: Eukaryota; Viridiplantae; Streptophyta; Magnoliopsida; Rosales; Rosaceae. The record is from RNAcentral.